This 492-nucleotide ribosomal RNA is filed under the name uncultured bacterium. RNAcentral describes it as "partial 16S ribosomal RNA". It matches the Rfam family "Bacterial small subunit ribosomal RNA", at positions 29 to 507 of the family's 1533-position model. The record is from RNAcentral.
AGUGAACGCUGGCGGUAGGCCUAACACAUGCAAGUCGAACGGCAGCACAGUAAGAGCUUGCCCUUACGGGUGGCGAGUGGCGGACGGGUGAGGAAUACAUCGGAAUCUACUUUUUCUUGGGGGAUAACGUAGGGAAACUUACGCUAAUACAGCAUAUGACCUACGGGUGAAAGCAGUGGAUCUUCGGACCUUGCGCGAUUGAAUGAGCCGAUGUCGGAUUAGCUAGUUGGCGGGGUAAAGGCCCACCAAGGCGACGCUCCGUAGCUGGUCUGAGAGGAUGGUCAGCCACACUUGAACUGAGACACGGUCCAGACUCCUACGGGAGGCAGCAGUGGGGAAUAUUGGACAAUGGGCGGAAGCCUGAUCCAGCCAUCGCGCGUGGGUGAAGAAGGCCUUCGGGUUGGAAAGCCCUUUUGUUGGGAAAGAAAAGCAGCAGGUUAAUACCCCGCUGUUCUGACGGUACCCAAAGAAUAAGCACCGGCUAACUUCGUG